GGGAAUUCAGCCUCCCCGGGCAUCCCCAGUGCUGCUUCCUCGCUGAUGCUGAUGAGGAGGUGGAGGGUGAAUGAAACACGGACGUGGCUGCUGAAAACUUCCCAGCGGAUCUGGGAAUGACAUCAUGCCCUGCUUGGUCCCCACCGCUGUCACUGGCAGCUCUGAGCUGGCCCAGCGAGCCCCUGUCACAGCCCUGCCAGCUCAGCCGUGCCAGCAGGAGCGGGGACACGCCAGGGAUGGCUGGGAUCACACUUGGAGAGAGCUCAGGCAGCCCAACCUUCCGCAGCUGAGGGGGCAAAUGGGCUUGAGAGCAACGACCCAAGGGACAGAGGCUCAGGUCCUUGUCACCUGCCUGUGAGGACAGCCAGCUGCACCUGGGAAGGGGCUGUGCAGGUGAGGGGCUGGGCAGUGCCACCACAACGAGGAGCAGAAGGAAAUGUCCCGCCCAAAACCCUCUCUGGUCCCAGAGCCCCCGGGUGACCCUGGGCAGGGCCAGAGCUGGGGGUGGCCCCAGGCUGAGCUGGAGCUGUUUUGUAACAGCCUCCCCUGGGGACAGAUCACACCACACCCCCGAACGCCUCCGGAGGGGCACGGGGGUGACCAAAUGAAUUGACACCAGGCAA
Long non-coding RNA from Catharus ustulatus (Swainson's thrush), 623 nucleotides. RefSeq lists it as uncharacterized. The record is from RefSeq and is a predicted model, not a curated record. The transcript is spliced from 3 exons. Lineage: Eukaryota; Metazoa; Chordata; Aves; Passeriformes; Turdidae.